RNAcentral lists this ribosomal RNA (456 nucleotides) under Blastocystis sp. subtype 10. RNAcentral's name for it is "SSU rRNA". It matches the Rfam family "Eukaryotic small subunit ribosomal RNA", at positions 471 to 940 of the family's 1831-position model. Lineage: Eukaryota; Bigyra; Opalinata; Blastocystidae. The record is from RNAcentral.
CAAUAAAUCACAAUGCGGAACUUCUGUUUUGCAAUUGGAUUGAGAACAACGCACAACACUUAUCGAUAAACAAUUGGAGGGCAAGUCUGGUGCCAGCAGCCGCGGUAAUUCCAGCUCCAAUAGCGUAUAUUAACGUUGUUGCAGUUAAAAAGCUCGUAGUUGAAGUGAAGUGUGAACCUUCUGGAUUUUCGUUCGAAUUUCUUGCUGGUUCGCACUCUUUCCAAAUAGUUUGCAUGGGUAUUCACUUAUCUGUGUAUUGCAUUUGGUCAUUUACUGUGAGAAAAUUAGAGUGUUCAAAGCAUACGUUUGUUUGAAUACAUUAGCAUGGAAUAAUUCGAAAAGGCUUUCAUGUUCGAUUUGAUUGGUUUGUUCGUGAAGGCAAGAUUAAAAGGGACAGUUGGGGGUAUUCAUAUUCAAUAGUCAGAGGUGAAAUUCUCGGAUUUAUGGAAGAUGAAC